This 507-nucleotide ribosomal RNA is filed under the name Metarhizium anisopliae. Its description in RNAcentral is "eukaryotic LSU rRNA". The stretch from base 151 to 304 matches the Rfam family "5.8S ribosomal RNA". Lineage: Eukaryota; Fungi; Ascomycota; Sordariomycetes; Hypocreales; Clavicipitaceae. The record is from RNAcentral.
GGAGGGAUCAUUACCGAGUUAUCCAACUCCCAACCCCUGUGAAUUAUACCUUUAAUUGUUGCUUCGGCGGGACUUCGCGCCCGCCGGGGACCCAAACCUUCUGAAUUUUUUAAUAAGUAUCUUCUGAGUGGUUAAAAAAAAAUGAAUCAAAACUUUCAACAACGGAUCUCUUGGUUCUGGCAUCGAUGAAGAACGCAGCGAAAUGCGAUAAGUAAUGUGAAUUGCAGAAUUCAGUGAAUCAUCGAAUCUUUGAACGCACAUUGCGCCCGUCAGUAUUCUGGCGGGCAUGCCUGUUCGAGCGUCAUUACGCCCCUCAAGUCCCCUGUGGACUUGGUGUUGGGGAUCGGCGAGGCUGGUUUUCCAGCACAGCCGUCCCUUAAAUUAAUUGGCGGUCUCGCCGUGGCCCUCCUCUGCGCAGUAGUAAAGCACUCGCAACAGGAGCCCGGCGCGGUCCACUGCCGUAAAACCCCCCAACUUUUUAUAGUUGACCUCGAAUCAGGUAGGACU